GACGGAGGAGGCAAGCGUUAUCCGGAAUGAUUGGGCGGAAAGCGUUCGCAGGUGGCUGUUCAAGUCUGCUGUCAAAGACCGGGGCUUAACCACAGAAAGGCAGUGGAAACUGAACGGCUGGAGUGCAGAUCGGGUAGAGGGAAUUCCCAGUGUAGCGGUGAAAUGCGUAGAGAUUGGGAAGAACCCCGGUGGCGAAAGCGCUCUGCUGGACUGCAACUGACACUGAGGGACGAAAGCUAGGGGAGCGAAAGGG
Molecule: ribosomal RNA, 253 nt
Filed under: uncultured bacterium
Lineage: Bacteria
Description: partial 16S ribosomal RNA
Rfam family: Bacterial small subunit ribosomal RNA
Source: RNAcentral